Molecule: long non-coding RNA, 305 nt
Organism: Sinocyclocheilus anshuiensis
Lineage: Eukaryota; Metazoa; Chordata; Actinopteri; Cypriniformes; Cyprinidae
Exons: 3
Source: RefSeq, a predicted model, not a curated record
GUAUGUAAACGGCCAUGCAAAAAAGCAUUUCGAGGAGAUUCAGGCACCAGGAGGCGGUCAAAGGAAGCCAGAGCGAGAAAAGUCCAGUGAGAAGAGUCAGCAGCACUCUGUGUGUAUGGACUGUAACAGUUAUAGCACAUUCUGUUACAGAUGUGAUGAAUUUGUGGUGAACGACACAAAACUAGGGCAUGUGCAGAGGGUCAGAGAACAUCUGCAGAGUUUGGAAAACUCUGUGUCUAAUACUGACAGACAGAGGAAGAGAAAACUGUCAGACAGUUCCUCUCCUGACAGCAAGCUGAAGAAAG